AGAACGAACGCUGGCGGCAGGCCUAACACAUGCAAGUCGAACGCGACCUUCGGGUCGAGUGGCGCACGGGUGAGUAACGCGUGGGAAUCUGCCCUGUGGUACGGAAUAACAUCGGGAAACUGGUGCUAAUACCGUAUAUCCCCUGAGGGGGAAGGAUUUAUCGCCAUGGGAGGAGCCCGCGUAGGAUUAGCUAGUUGGUGAGGUAACGGCUCACCAAGGCGACGAUCCUUAGCUGGUCUGAGAGGAUGAUCAGCCACACUGGGACUGAGAUACGGCCCAGACUCCUACGGGAGGCAGCAGUGGGGAAUAUUGGACAAUGGGGGAAACCCUGAUCCAGCCAUGCCGCGUGUGUGAUGAAGGCCUUCGGGUUGUAAAGCACUUUCGCACGUGACGAUGAUGACGGUAACGUGAGAAGAAGCCCGGCUAACUUCGCGCCAGCAGCCGC
This 445-nucleotide ribosomal RNA is filed under the name uncultured bacterium. RNAcentral describes it as "SSU rRNA". It matches the Rfam family "Bacterial small subunit ribosomal RNA", at positions 26 to 518 of the family's 1533-position model. The record is from RNAcentral.